This 144-nucleotide small RNA is filed under the name Candidatus Thiodiazotropha sp. (ex Monitilora ramsayi). RNAcentral describes it as "RtT sRNA". It matches the Rfam family "RtT RNA". From Rfam's summary of the family: This family represents a bacterial cis-regulatory element known as RtT RNA. The exact function of RtT is unknown although it is thought that it may be involved in changing the cellular response in relation to amino acid starvation. The record is from RNAcentral. Lineage: Bacteria; Pseudomonadati; Pseudomonadota; Gammaproteobacteria; Chromatiales; Sedimenticolaceae.
UUUUUGUUUCUACGAAGGAGAUUCGAACCUACGACUUCAAAUAAGCCAGGUUCGACAGCCGAGCAGAGCGAGGCUGAACGUGGGAGCAUAGCGACCACGACCCGAAGGGCGAGGCGUAGCCGAGUAAUCCUACAUGGCCCACCA